Molecule: ribosomal RNA, 500 nt
Filed under: uncultured bacterium
Lineage: Bacteria
Description: partial 16S ribosomal RNA
Rfam family: Bacterial small subunit ribosomal RNA
Source: RNAcentral
AUUGAACGCUGGCAGCAUGCCUUACACAUGCAAGUCGAACGGCAGCACGGGAGCAAUCCUGGUGGCGAGUGGCGAACGGGUGAGUAAAGUAUCGGAACGUGCCCAGUCGUGGGGGAUAACGUAGCGAAAGUUACGCUAAUACCGCAUACGAUCUAUGGAUGAAAGCGGGGGAUCGCAAGACCUCACGCGAUUGGAGCGGCCGAUAUCAGAUUAGGUAGUUGGUGGGGUAAAGGCUCACCAAGCCGACGAUCUGUAGCUGGUCUGAGAGGACGACCAGCCACACUGGGACUGAGACACGGCCCAGACUCCUACGGGAGGCAGCAGUGGGGAAUUUUGGACAAUGGGCGCAAGCCUGAUCCAGCCAUGCCGCGUGCAGGAUGAAGGCCUUCGGGUUGUAAACUGCUUUUGUACGGAACGAAAAGGUUUGACUUAAUACGUUGGACUCAUGACGGUACCGUAAGAAUAAGCACCGGCUAACUACGUGCCAGCCGCCGCUGUAA